CACAUUUGCUUGACGAAAUCGUCGAUCAAGGUAUAGAGCUGGCACCAUGGAUACGAAGAGAUAAUCUGCUGUGAUCCCUCGGCAAUAGCAACCUGACUAGUCUCAUAUUCCCUGCUUGAUGGCAAACACACAGCAUGUACAGGGACGUUUUCUCAUAAGCCCUAGGUGCUGCCACAGCACUGGCAAUUGCAAGUGUACUAAAAGCAAUUUUAGUCAUGUUAGAGGAUUACGCUUCAGGCAUGGGCUGCGCUUGGGUCAAAGGCAAUAUUGUCUGUCCAGAUCAGGGCAGGUAGGCACCAACCCUUUUUUGACUGAAAGUAUGCUCUGCAGAGGAUCGGUUCAUGCAAGGUUGGUUGUCACGGCAGAUGGAUUGUUCACAAGCUGACAGUAGGUGGUAGAAGAACAGGACACCCUGAGACAGAGUUUGGACAACCUUGGAGAGGAGGUCUACAUAGAGGAGGUCUACAUGGCGCUCGCAGAGCGACUGACUGCUCUUACUGCUGACUUUCAAC
This 512-nucleotide long non-coding RNA is filed under the name Coccomyxa subellipsoidea. Its description in RNAcentral is "long non-coding RNA (CSUB_LNC000313)". Lineage: Eukaryota; Viridiplantae; Chlorophyta; Trebouxiophyceae; Coccomyxaceae. The record is from RNAcentral.